UUCUAUUUACAGCUUUCGUGUGUUUGCUUCUGUCGCUAAUAACAAGCUUUUGGAUAACUCAGAUAUCGAUUUAGGAAUAGAUCUAACAUACAACCAAAAGGCGUUCCGAAUUUCAAACUGAGAUGUUCCCAAUAUGAAUCAGUCACCUUUGAGGUUCCCGAAGGGGUAGACUGUUAUAUUAUAUAUUGCUAUUGAUUGAUUGAGAUUUUAAUGUCUGACAAACGACUAUAUUGGUAAAAUUUCUUUAUAACCAAUAUAAAUUUUGCAAUAAAAAGCUCAGGUAGAAAAGCUCAAUAACGCCUCUUUUAUUUUAUCAUCUAUUCACGCAGUGACAAAAGAAAACGUCACCUAGCAAAAGGGCAAACUUGAUUUGACAUGUCGGGUUUGUGCUUGCCGCCGGCACACUACAUUCACGCAUAUGCGCAAUUUGGCGGACGCAAAUAACAUUUUGUAUGGCUUUGCAUUUCUCUGCAGUCCGGCAAAACUUCUAAUCGAACGGCAGGUGCCGAACAUGCGGGACUUAGGGGACAUACGUAAUCAGUAGGUAGGUGCCGCCUUCCCGGCGGUAACCGGCACGCCUGAAUCAAGUUCGUCCAAAGAAAAAAGUUUACGACAUUUAUGGAAAUUGCUUUAUUUUUUUAAUUUACAUACCAUUUUCAGCCGUAACAUUAUAAUUUCAAAGGGUGAUAUGUUAUAAAUAAAUGCGCGAUCAUUCAAACAAAUAUUUCAUCCACGUUCAUAUACCGCAUGACAACGUUUACAACUUUGGAACACUUUACGACAUAACACUUUACGGCAGAAAAUGGAAAACCGGAAGAAUACAGGGUAAUGUAAGAAUACACAAAAAAUGGAAGGAGGGACAGCUGCUGAAAUACACUAUGAACUAUCUUAUCCUGGCACUUUGGCAUGUUUGAAUGUGGAAGGCCUUGAAAUUGGGAUGAAGAAGGCCAGGGAAUGUCACAGAGAUAAAAAAAAAAAUGAAAUUAUUUGCAGUGUUUGUGUUUUAUGGUCAUAAAACAUGGAACAUUUUCUUGAAGUUAAUCAACCACAUGCUUUCCUAUUAUAUCCUAGUAGGUUGGCAUGGUUACCUAAACAGCGUGUAUGCAUACCUGGUCAUUGUUAGACCAUUUUGAU
Molecule: long non-coding RNA, 1134 nt
Organism: Mizuhopecten yessoensis (Yesso scallop)
Lineage: Eukaryota; Metazoa; Mollusca; Bivalvia; Pectinida; Pectinidae
Exons: 3
Source: RefSeq, a predicted model, not a curated record